RNAcentral lists this ribosomal RNA (464 nucleotides) under uncultured prokaryote. RNAcentral describes it as "partial 16S ribosomal RNA". The record is from RNAcentral.
CCCUAUGGGGCGCAGCAGGCGAGAUGAAGCCAUUUCAACGGCGAGGGAAGUCAUUCCGGAAAUAAAUACAGUGAUAAACAGGUAUUUGCGCAUUUUUGGAUAUUCCCUGAGCUUUGGUUCUAUGGAUUAUACCGUAUCCAGCAUCCUGGUAAUAUUCACCAAAUUGCCCCACCGUCUCUAUUUUAUGAACCGGACCUCGGCAACGGUUUUUAUGGACGCAUUUCUACUUUUGCAUGGCUUUCUGGUUGGCGCGUUUUAAGUAUCGGGAUAAAGAAAGAAUCAUUUUAAGCCGGCGUGUAUUGCAGCCUGUUGGAAUGAACCGGGUAUAAUAUUUUCAGAAGUCUCUCAGAGGAAAUAAGGAAACGAUAUGAAACUAUUGACGGUUAAUCAAAUGCGCUCCCUGGAACAGGAAGCUGAUGAACAGGGUUAUUCCUACGCGAUGAUGAUGGAAUUGGCGGGAGGGC